Molecule: ribosomal RNA, 534 nt
Filed under: uncultured bacterium
Lineage: Bacteria
Description: partial 16S ribosomal RNA
Rfam family: Bacterial small subunit ribosomal RNA
Source: RNAcentral
GAUGAACGCUGGCGGCGUGCCUAAUACAUGCAAGUCGAGCGAACAGACGAGGAGCUUGCUCCUCUGACGUUAGCGGCGGACGGGUGAGUAACACGUGGAUAACCUACCUAUAAGACUGGGAUAACUUCGGGAAACCGGAGCUAAUACCGGAUAAUAUAUUGAACCGCAUGGUUCAAUAGUGAAAGACGGUUUUGCUGUCACUUAUAGAUGGAUCCGCGCCGCAUUAGCUAGUUGGUAAGGUAACGGCUUACCAAGGCAACGAUGCGUAGCCGACCUGAGAGGGUGACCGACCCCCAAGGAACGGAGACCCACACGAGGCGAGAGGGGGGAGAAGCAUAUUGAUAUCUCCCGCAGUGGGCGACCGCUAGACGGAGCAGCGCCGCGUGCGUGAUGAAUGUCUUCGGAUCGUACAACUAUAUUAUUAGGGAAGAACAAAUUGGUAAGUAACUACUCAUGUCUUAAGGUGCAAUAAUAAAAAAGCCACGGCUAACUCCGUGCCAGCAGCCGCGGUAGUAGAUCGGCACGUGUCUGAAC